CGACAUUGACAACGAGCUGUUGGACUAUGAAGAGGAUGAGGAGCCUCAGGUUGCCCCAGAGACCGCCACAUCUGCAGGCAAGGAGGAGGUAAAGGGCUCUUAGUCUCCAUCCACAGCUCCGGCUUCCGAGACUUCCUGCUCAAACCAGAGCUGCUCCGCGCCAUUGUUGACUGUGGCUUUGAACAUCCCUCUGAAGUCCAACAUGAGUGCAUCCCACAGGCCAUCCUGGGCAUGGACAUCCUGUGCCAGGCCAAGUCUGGUAUGGGCAAGACGGCUGUGCUUGUACUGGCCACCCUGCAGCAGAUUGAGCCUGUGGACGGGCAGGUGAAUGGUUGAAUAAUGACAUUGUGGAAGCAGCAACUGAAUUGCCAGGCUUUCCCGGUACCAGCAGUUCAAGGACUUCCGAAGGCGGAUCCUGGUGGCCACCAACCAGUUUGGCCGAGGGAUGGAACAUUGAGCCCGUCAACAUCGUCUUCAACUACGACAUGCCCGAGGAUUCCGACACCUACCUGCACAGAGUGGGCCUUGCAGGCAGGUUCGGGACGAAAUUCAUUAUAUCGGUCCAUGGUGUUAAGUUCAUGUUUUUAAGUAUCCCAAUAUUUAUGUUAUUAAGGGG
Long non-coding RNA from Oncorhynchus gorbuscha (pink salmon), 616 nucleotides. RefSeq lists it as uncharacterized. The transcript has 3 exons. Lineage: Eukaryota; Metazoa; Chordata; Actinopteri; Salmoniformes; Salmonidae. The record is from RefSeq and is a predicted model, not a curated record.